UUUUUUGAAUUGUUAUUUGGAUGGAGAGUUGUCUCAUUGGCACUCACACCACAUCUUCCUAUAUCUAUGGGCUUAAGGGAAGUAUCCUUUGUACUAUGCUAAUUGUCCUGCCUCAUUUGUUUUACAUUUGAAGGUAACACUCUGACGGAUGUUUGAUGUAAAUAGUAAACGGACCAUUCUUCAAUUGAGAAAACUUAUCAUUUUACUACACAAAUCCUUGAGAAAACACAAUAAAACAAUGCGGGUGGGGGUUGGGGGGGGGGGGGGAGGGGAGAAGAAAUUGAAAUGUUUGUACAUGUAUUAUGACUGCAUAUGUAAUCCUUGAACAUGAAGAGCGUAUUUUGCCUACAUACCGGUAUCAGUUCUCUGGUAGUUUUGGCAAAGCUGUAGUUUUAAUAAGCCCUCUAUUUUUUUUUUCUUUCAAGCUGGUUCCAAAGAAUUUCAAAACCGAAACACCGUGGCCUUUAGCCGUUUCUUGAAGUUUUCUAAGUUACCAAACCUUCUCAUGUGUUCUGAGCAGAUUAACUAACCAAAAUGAAAUGGUUAGAUGAACUACGACAAACGGACAUGCACGUACAACUCAUAACUCGGGGAUGGUUGCAGACGUUAGGGAACUACCAUUUUUAUUGGGAGGGGGAGGGGACAAGGGUGGAAUUUGAAGAAAAAAAAAUAGGCAGGACGGUAGUUUUAAGUGAAAAAAAAUAGGCAGGAUUACAAUUUAUGUAAAACAAAAUCCCCCCCCCCCCCCCCAAAAAAAAAAAGAAAAUAAAGCAGUACCAAAUAGAUUGAAAAUUAAAAGGCAGAACCUUUUUCAUCCUAGCUCCCCCCCUUAAAAGUCAAAUGGUAGCUCUCUUAUCAAGGAAACUUAUCAAGAUGAAAAUGAAGUCAUGAUCAGAUUAAUUUUGUCAGACUAGUUGUAUUCGGAAAAACGGUAAUAAUCGUGACAGCAAAAAUCAAAAGCUUGACGAAUUGACAACAAAGACGUCAAUCACCAUGACAAACCGACAAUUCAUCUGAAUCAUUGCAUAUACCCAAUAUAGUUGGUCUUAUAUUUAAUGCUUGCAGUAAUUACAACAAUUCCAUAUACUAAAUAUAAAUAUCACUAUCAGACCUGCUCACAAAAGCUGGACCAAUGAUCAAUACAAAUGGGGUCAAGACCAGAAGAACUCUUUCCGACAGAUAUCAUUACAUACAAGGACUUGUCAACAUAUUGCAUAUAUACAGAAAUCCGCGAAAUGGUCAUCAUCACAUGAUAAUGAGUUCAAGGUCACUGUUGAACCCUUCCAGACAAACAUGAUAUUUGAUCCCUGCACCUUGCAAAAAUUAUGUAAUUUUCUUGACAAGUAUAACAUCAUUUUGUGACUUGAAUAUCUGAGCAUAAAUUUCCUUAAUGUUAAUGAAUAGGAUUUAAAGAAUGUGAUGAUCAAUGCACUAUUUUUUGUGUCAAAGGAAGAUUUAAAUAUUGAGUCAGUAUCAUAGGGUUAUGAUUGCAUUUGAAUGCAAUCUUUACUCCAAAAUCAUAUGACCAUUAUAAAACAAACAGAAAUAUGAGAGAGAAAAAUUUGGUCAUAAGGCAUCUAAGGGUAAAUGAAGUUUCUUCUGAAAAAUGUAACUUUCUGCAAAAGACUUAACCUUCUUUCACAGGAUUAGCAUCUUUAUGUCUGACAUUCUGUGACAGGCAAUAAAAAAGCAAACUGAUCUAAGUUUUUCCCCCAAC
This 1717-nucleotide long non-coding RNA is filed under the name Mytilus galloprovincialis (Mediterranean mussel). The record is from RNAcentral. Lineage: Eukaryota; Metazoa; Mollusca; Bivalvia; Mytilida; Mytilidae.